This 394-nucleotide long non-coding RNA is filed under the name Pongo abelii (Sumatran orangutan). Its description in RNAcentral is "lincRNA". The record is from RNAcentral. Lineage: Eukaryota; Metazoa; Chordata; Mammalia; Primates; Hominidae.
UCCCGAUUGGCCACCGUGCUCACAGCCCACUGCAUUGUCACCUCUGACAGGUGCAGAGGGUGCACAGAGGCCACCACUCUGCCACACACGCUGGGAGAUGUAGUUUUUAGAAUAUUUAAACACCAGCAAAAACUACAGUUAUUAAAGGGAACAGUGCCUAAGGGACUGAGCUGAGCUUGUAAGAAGAGCAUGCCUGCUUGCUAAUGAUGACAGAGGUAGCAGAGUUCCAUCUAGGGCUGGAUACCAGGGCCAGUAAUGCCUGUAAUCUCAGCACUUUGGGAGACCAAAGUGGGAGGAUCACUUGAGCCCAGGAAUUCAAGCCCACCCUGGGCAACACAGCAAGACCCUGCCACUCUAUUAUUUUUUUAAAUAAAAAAUAAAUAAAUAAAAAUUU